RNAcentral lists this ribosomal RNA (374 nucleotides) under uncultured bacterium. RNAcentral describes it as "bacterial SSU rRNA". It matches the Rfam family "Bacterial small subunit ribosomal RNA", at positions 524 to 898 of the family's 1533-position model. The record is from RNAcentral.
UACGUAGGCAGCAAGCGUUGUUCGGAAUUACUGGGCGUAAAGGGUGCGUAGGCGGUGCUCUAAGUUUGGUGUGAAAUCUCCCGGCUUAACUGGGAGGGUGCGCCGAAAACUGGAGUGCUUGAGUGUGGGAGAGGAAAGCGGAAUUCCUGGUGUAGCGGUGAAAUGCGUAGAGAUCAGGAGGAACACCUGCGGUGUAGACGGCUUUCUGGACCAUAACUGACGCUGAGGCACGAAAGCGUGGGUAGCAAACAGGAUUAGAUACCCUGGUAGUCCACGCCCUAAACGAUGCAUACUUGGUGUGGGUUCUUCACGGGAUCCGUGCCGGAGUUAACGCGUUAAGUAGGCCGCCUGGGGAGUACGGUCGCAAGGCUGAA